AGAGUUUGAUCAUGGCUCAGAACGAACGCUGGCGGCGUGCCUAACACAUGCAAGCCGAACGAGAAAUCAUCUUCUUUGAAGAUGAGAGUAAAGUGGCGCACGGGUGAGUAACGCGUGGGUAACCUGCCCCUGAAUCUGGGAUAAUCCGCCGAAAGGCGGCCUAAUACCGGAUAAUAUCUCUUGUUGCUAGGGCAAGAGAUCAAAGCCAGUCUCUCUAUAAGAAGCUGGUGUUCAGGGAUGGGCCCGCGUCCUAUCAGCUAGUUGGUGAGGUAAGGGCUCACCAAGGCAAUGACGGGUAGCUGGUCUGAGAGGAUGGUCAGCCACACUGGAACUGAGGCACGGUCCAGACUCCUACGGGAGGCAGCAGUGAGGAAUAUUGCGCAAUGGGGGAAACCCUGACGCAGCGACGCCGCGUGGGUGAGGAAGGCCUUCGGGUUGUAAAGCCCUGUCAGGUGGGAAGAACCUCUUGGUGUUGAACAGGCAUCAAGACUGACGGUACCACCAGAGGAAGCACCGGCUAACUCCGUGCCAGCAGCCGCGGUAAUACGGAGGGUGCGAGCGUUGUUCGGAAUUAUUGGGCGUAAAGAGCGUGUAGGCGGUAGAGCAAGUCAGGUGUGAAAGUCCUGGGCUCAACCCAGGAAGUGCACUUGAUACUGCUUUACCUGAGUACCGGAGAGGAAGGGGGAAUUCCCGGUGUAGGGGGUGAAAUCCGUAGAUAUCGGGAGGAAUACCGGUGGCGAAGGCGCCCUUCUGGACGGAUACUGACGCUGAGACGCGAAAGCGUGGGGAGCAAACAGGAUUAGA
This 804-nucleotide ribosomal RNA is filed under the name uncultured bacterium. RNAcentral's name for it is "bacterial SSU rRNA". It matches the Rfam family "Bacterial small subunit ribosomal RNA", at positions 8 to 782 of the family's 1533-position model. The record is from RNAcentral.